RNAcentral lists this unclassified non-coding RNA (532 nucleotides) under uncultured Microcystis sp. RNAcentral's name for it is "partial contains 16S ribosomal RNA and 16S-23S ribosomal RNA intergenic spacer". The stretch from base 1 to 120 matches the Rfam family "Bacterial small subunit ribosomal RNA", at positions 1414 to 1533 of the family's 1533-position model. Lineage: Bacteria; Bacillati; Cyanobacteriota; Cyanophyceae; Chroococcales; Microcystaceae. The record is from RNAcentral.
GCCACGCCCGAAGUCGUUACCUCAACCGCAAGGAGGGGGAUGCCUAAGGCAGGGCUAGUGACUGGGGUGAAGUCGUAACAAGGUAGCCGUACCGGAAGGUGUGGCUGGAUCACCUCCUUAAAGGGAGACCUAAUUCAGGUAGGAGACGAAAAAAAAGUAGUCCCUACCAAGAAUCAAUCCCAAAAGGUCGGAACGAGGUAUGUGGCUUUCAAACUAGGUUCUGGGUUCAUAAAAGACCUGAAUCAGGAACAAGGGCUAUUAGCUCAGGUGGUUAGAGCGCACCCCUGAUAAGGGUGAGGUCCCUGGUUCGAGUCCAGGAUGGCCCACCUGCACAGGUGGCAAAAACAAAGAAAAGAAGCUCCGAAUCAGCACCUUAUCUUACUCAUAUAGUAAGUAAGAGAGAAUGCUGGCUCUGAGUUCAGAGUCCAGAGGAACCUUGAAAACUGCAUAGAGCUAGGUGAAAAAGCCAAAAAAGAAGACCGCAAGGUCAAGCUAAUAAGGGCUAACGGUGGAUACCUAGGCACACCAGAGG